This is a long non-coding RNA of Felis catus (domestic cat), 2003 nucleotides long. RefSeq lists it as uncharacterized. The transcript is spliced from 3 exons. The record is from RefSeq and is a predicted model, not a curated record. Lineage: Eukaryota; Metazoa; Chordata; Mammalia; Carnivora; Felidae.
CUUUCUUCUCACAGCUCAGGCACCCUGGGGCAAGCCAGCUGCUAUGUCACCGGGACACUCGAGCAGAUGCUGAAAUGGCAAGUCUGAAGAGCAAGAAGUCAUUACAGAUUUCUUAUGAAAUGCAAACAGUGAGGAACCAUUAAUUUUAAAGGUCUACCCAUUUCCCAAGGAGCCAAGAAGCCAUGCCUAGUCUUGAGGGUUUAAUCUACGUACACACAGGGGAAAGAUCUCUCCUAACCUACACCACUCACUGUCCUCCCAAGAGGCUUCACGCGCCUUUCUUUUGAAAACUCGCAUUUUCCAUAGUUGCAAAAAUAACAAAUGCUCAGUGUACAAAACUAGGAAUACAUGAAAAAGCACAAAGAAAAUGAAAAAAUAAACACCGUAAUCCCACCUCCCACGUGUUGAAAUAUUUUCCUCUGAUAUUUUAGAUGUAGCUCACACACACCUCACUUGAAAACAAAUUGAUUAUAGCGGCCACUCCCGCGUGUUCACGGGAGGGGUAGGUGAUGCAUAAAACAUCUGUGGAGAAAAAAAAUAUAUAAAAUAGCUAACAUUUAACAGUAUUAACUUGGUGCCAAGCAUCCUGGGCACUCCUUACAUAUUAACUCGAGGAAACUUUUGCCUACCACCAAAUCCAAAGAUAUUCUUCUGCAUUUAACUCAUUUAAUACUCAGCACCCUUUUGUUACUGUCAUAUUUAUUUGGUAGAUAGGGAAACGGAGGCACAUGAAAAACCGUGCCCCAAAUCACACUGCCUGUUGUGGUGAGCGGGGAUUUGUUCCAGUCUCUGCGGGAAGCAAGAACUCAGGUGCCCACCUGCGCCCACACGGCUCACUGCUUCCCUUUUAGAGACUAGCGGAGGGGAGGGACUCACGGUUCACUUUCCUCUGGUUGGUCGGUUCUGGCCCAGAGUGACCGCUGCUAGAGUCACCAAGGAGUCCUGGGCUGUAAUCUUGCGGUGGAGAGCACGAGAUAAACACGGGGUGGGGGAAACUGAUGCGAGGGGAGCCUAGAAAGAGGGCCUGCUCGGGCCUGGCGUCCAGCCUCAGGCUGGGCCCGUGGCCACACCCACGCAGGCCGCCCACGGCCACGCCUACCACCCCGUGCAGCCAGGCCCGCGCCCACUGCGGGCAGAGCCUGAGAGGCAGGGGCGCCUGACGUGCUGCUGACAUCAGGGAAGGUAGCCACCUAGUGCUCUGAACCUUCAGAAAAAGUCCACCACCCACACAUUUGCCUUGUGCACGUGGUUUUGGAGAAAUCCCAAAUGUCUCCAAUUCCAGAGAAGAGGCCGAGUCCCACGUCUGAGCUGGGGCAGUGAAAGGGGAAAAGAAACCUGAGUGGGCGGAGAGUCUGGAGAAAGUUGUGAGCCGCUGGGAAUCCGGAUAAAUCUUGACUAUGGCCGCUCUCAUGUUGCAAAGGCAGGGCUGAAAAGAUGCAACAGAGACCGCGUGAGGCACCCUCACCGAUCUGCACUGUGGCUCAGUGGCUGUUGUGUGAUGGAGGUGGACUGGCCUGUGUUCCUGGUUCCUGGAAGUUACCCUGUAAAUUCUUGGAAUUUCCCAAGUGAUAGGAGCAUCUUUGUCAUUCAUGGUGUAGCCUGGUAGUUUAUGCUAGAGAGGUGACACGUGGUCCUCCCUGGAUAGUUUGUGCUAAUGAGAUGAUACAGAUUGGGGACAGGCCACACCAUGUGAUUAGAACCUUUUGAGGAACUCGAUAUCAGUUUGACCUCUGGAGAAGGAAGUGGGGCUGGAGCUUGAAUUAAUUUGCUUGGCCAUUGAUUCAAUCGUGUCUGUGUAAUGAAACGCCAUUAAAAACUCUAGACACGAACCUUAGAUGGGCUUCCCUGGUUGCUGAAACACAUUGAAAUGCUGGGAGACUGACACGUCCUAAGAACAUGGACGACUUCACGUUUGGGAAUGGGAAAACUUCCCCCUGUGCGCCUUUGCAUUCUGCUGGUCCUGAUUUGUAUCCUUUAUAAUAAAAGUCAUCGUAAGUAUAGCA